Long non-coding RNA from Oreochromis aureus, 2330 nucleotides. RefSeq lists it as uncharacterized. The transcript has 6 exons. The record is from RefSeq and is a predicted model, not a curated record. NCBI's taxonomy places the organism in Eukaryota, Metazoa, Chordata, Actinopteri, Cichliformes, Cichlidae.
AUGGAAUAAACCAGUAAUCUGUUGGAAAACUAUUUAAUUUUAGCAUGCUUUUUUUUCUAUACACAACAAAGUGCUUGCUUACUUUUCCUGUCAUGAUUUUAAGCGAUUUUUGUCCUUCACACAGCCUGAAAUUAGGCCCUACAGAUAUGCUACUACUUAGUGGUGCUCACAAAGCAUACUGAAGCUAUGGUGCUAAUGGCAUUAGCUUUGCAUGUAAUUGUUUAAAGACUAAACUAUUGGCCAAAUUUAAACUUUAAGCUGAUUCUGGCCCAAAAAACAUCACAGGAGUGAUUUACGACCUUAAAUAACUUUAAUUUUUCAGUCUUGGGAGGCAAAAGUUAGCAUGCAGCUAGCAUGAGUAAAAGUAAGACAAUUUCUUUUUUAUUUAACAGCCCGCAGUAGCAUGGUCGUAAAGCUAAGACAAACUUUUGUCUCACUCCUGUUAAAUACCAGAGUCAGCCGAAUAUAGCGCACAUCUGCUGCCAGCGGUCACGUCUUAAUGUCCGUUAAGAAUAUCAGACGCAUUGGUGUUUGACACAAUUUAUUUAUGAGUUGAAUUUAGCAACGGCUCAGUAUAAUUUGAAAAAUGACCCGUUGCGUUCUCUGGCAACAAGAUACCCAGCUGACUUGGCUAUACAAGGAUUUCAAGCAAAUGAUACUUUGUUUUUCCAGUAUUUAUUACGACCACAGUGACAACUCCAGGCCAACGGUCACAACUGAGCAUGUGUGUGGCUCACUCCGUCAGCUCCAAGCAGCUGGCCCAGAUUGACCCCAGCGGUUUGUGACUAUGAAGAGGCACAAGCAGACAUCUAAUGGGAUGGCAGUAGCAAUGACGGCUGGUGUUUCUUUGCGAUGUAUGGAGGCUGUCUGAUGCUUUUCCAUGUCAUAUUUUUUUAUGCUUGGCCACUGACGAGGGAGGUGAAGGAAUUGACCUGCUGCUGACAGAUGAGUUUUCGGGGAUCCCAAGAAGACACAAACCCAGCAGAAGAUCACAAAUGUAAGCAGAGCGCUGACAUGGACCCCACGCUGUGUGUGGGCAGAGUGCUGCUCGUCAGUGUCUCAGCUGUGGGGGAAACUUGUGAGGGAAAAGGAAAGCCCUCAUUGCACAAAUUUCAUGUGUCUGUGUGCAUGAGCGAGCACUGACGGUUGACAGACAGAGUUGAGGUUGAGAAGACGGUGGUCUUUAUCACACCCACACAUCCUCUAUUUCAAACCUGAUGCUGCUUUACUUGAUUUUGCCAACUUCCACUCACUCUUAAUCUGCCUCACUACAUUUCACACACUUUGUUCUGAACCACACUUAGAAAGUUUCAGAGAGGCAUUACAUCUCCAUCCAUCAAACAUGAUCCUUCAAGUGAUAGACGCCAUUUAUCAUGUGGUUUAAGAUGAAGUAUGUUAAAAUUACAGGGUUACCUCUUUUUUUUUGCUGCUGCUGCUGCUGUUUGUUUGUUUUUCAUAUAUGCUGAUUACCAGUUGCCAUCCAGCAACAUUUGCAGAUGCAGCAAUAAGGAAAUGAACCACUCCCACUAGCACUGCCAAUACUGAAGCCAGUUUUCUUGCCAACAUAUUUCUGUUAAUUAAAAGUGCAGUUUCACUAUUUUGUGAGGACCUUAAUCUUACUGGAAGUCCCAGCUUUGUAUGACUGGUCAUGGGUUCAACUCACAGCAAAAGAGGAUGCAAGACCAUUUAGCAUAAAGGUGAUAUAGUGCUGAACUUUAGCUAGCAGAGGAUAUGGGGACUUAGCAUAAAGCUGCGAAGGCGUUGUUGUUCUCAGCAAGCGGCUGUCCUGGUCGAUAAUUAGGUCAGCACAGCCCUCCUGGGAGGGGAGGGCAGAGGGGACACUGUAGAAACCCCUUAGCCCCAUCACAGCCAGAUGAAAAGAAAACAGUCCCAGUACAGGUUCCACAUGUCGGGGCGAAGGGUAAAAAUGUGUUUUAGAUUUUCCUCCUUCCCUCUCCUCUCUGCUCUUGUUUGAUUCUGAGCUGCAAGGGGAUAACCUCCUAAGAGCUCCUAUAACACCUUGCUAUCUUGGCCUUUAGGUUUUUUUUCCUACAAUAUAUGAGUUUGUGUGCAUACUGCGAUGUGGUCUAGUAUAUCUAUUUCUUCCUUCCUCUGGGUUUUAGCUAAUCCAUUUCUCUAGGCUUCCUUCCCAGAACAGUGAGACGUUUUUAAAGAAAACAGAGCUGAGCAGCACCUUGGAAAUCCCACCAUCUUUCUCAUUAAAGAUGAGGAUGAAGACGAAGUUGAUUUUCCUGAUUCAAUUUAAGCCCAUGAAACUGGACCUUAGCCACGGCACUUCGAGAAAGGGAUGAAAGAGAGACAGCUGGAGA